Molecule: transfer RNA, 87 nt
Filed under: Nitrospinota bacterium
Lineage: Bacteria; Pseudomonadati; Nitrospinota
Also listed under: 1 other name
Description: tRNA-Leu
Rfam family: tRNA
About the family: Transfer RNA (tRNA) molecules are approximately 80 nucleotides in length. Their secondary structure includes four short double-helical elements and three loops (D, anti-codon, and T loops).
Source: RNAcentral
GCCGAAGUGGUGGAAUUGGUAGACGCGCUGGAUUCAAAAUCCAGUGGGGGCAACCCCGUGCGAGUUCGAUUCUCGCCUUCGGCACCA